Molecule: ribosomal RNA, 253 nt
Filed under: uncultured bacterium
Lineage: Bacteria
Description: partial 16S ribosomal RNA
Rfam family: Bacterial small subunit ribosomal RNA
Source: RNAcentral
UACGUAGGGGGCAAGCGUUGUCCGGAUUUAUUGGGCGUAAAGAGCGUGUAGGCGGCCUGAAAGGUCAGCUGUGAAAACUCGAGGCUCAACCUCGAGACGUCGGUUGAAACCAUCUGGCUAGAGUCCGGAAGAGGAGUGUGGAAUUCCCGGUGUAGCGGUGAAAUGCGCAGAUAUCGGGAAGAACACCCGUGGCGAAGGCAGCUCUCUGGGACGGUACUGACGCUGAGACGCGAAAGCGUGGGGAGCGAACAGG